Molecule: ribosomal RNA, 373 nt
Filed under: uncultured organism
Description: bacterial SSU rRNA
Rfam family: Bacterial small subunit ribosomal RNA
Source: RNAcentral
CAGAGGUGCCAAGCGUUAGGCGGAAUCACUGGGCUUAAAGCGCGUGUAGGUGGCGGCCUAAGUACCUUGUGAAAUCCUGCGGCUCAACCGCAGAACUGCUUGGUAUACUGGGUCGCUUGAGCCAUCCAGGGGCAACUGGAACAAGCGGUGGAGCGGUGAAAUGCGUAGAUAUCGCUUGGAACGCCAAAGGUGAAAACAGGUUGCUGGGGAUGCGCUGACACUGAGACGCGAAAGCCAGGGGAGCGAACGGGAUUAGAUACCCCGGUAGUCCUGGCCCUAAACGAUGUCCACUAGAUCAUGGGACCUUUGACGGGUUUCAUGGUCGAAGCAAAAGUGCUAAGUGGACCGCCUGGGAAGUACGGUCGCAAGGCUA